This 466-nucleotide ribosomal RNA is filed under the name uncultured bacterium. RNAcentral describes it as "partial 16S ribosomal RNA". It matches the Rfam family "Bacterial small subunit ribosomal RNA", at positions 28 to 507 of the family's 1533-position model. The record is from RNAcentral.
GAUGAACGCUGGCGGCGUGCUUAACACAUGCAAGUCGAACGAUGAAGCCCAGCUUGCUGGGUGGAUUAGUGGCGAACGGGUGAGUAACACGUGAGUAACCUGCCCUUAACUCUGGGAUAAGCCUGGGAAACUGGGUCUAAUACCGGAUAGGAGCGUCCACCGCAUGGUGGGUGUUGGAAAGAUUUAUCGGUUUUGGAUGGACUCGCGGCCUAUCAGCUUGUUGGUGAGGUAAUGGCUCACCAAGGCGACGACGGGUAGCCGGCCUGAGAGGGUGACCGGCCACACUGGGACUGAGACACGGCCCCGACUCCUACGGGAGGCAGCAGUGGGGAAUAUUGCACAAUGGGCGCAAGCCUGAUGCAGCGACGCCGCGUGAGGGAUGACGGCCUUCGGGUUGUAAACCUCUUUCAGUAGGGAAGAAGCGAAAGUGACGGUACCUGCAGAAGAAGCACCGGCUAACUACGUG